GACGAACGCUGGCGGCGUGCUUAACACAUGCAAGUCGAGCGGUAAGGCCCUUUCGGGGGUACACGAGCGGCGAACGGGUGAGUAACACGUGGGUGACCUGCCCUUAGCUCUGGGAUAAGCCUGGGAAACUGGGUCUAAUACCGGAUAUGACCUCAUGACUCAUGUUGUGGGGUGGAAAGCCUUGUGCGGCUAGGGGAUGGGCCCGCGGCCUAUCAGCUUGUUGGGUGGGGUAAUUGCCUACCAAGGCGACGACGGGUAGCCGGCCUGAGAGGGCGACCGGCCACACUGGGACUGAGACACGGCCCAGACUCCUACGGGAGGCAGCAGGUGGGGAAUCUUGCGCAAGUGGGGCGAAAGCCUGACGCAGCGACGCCGCGUGA
This 380-nucleotide ribosomal RNA is filed under the name uncultured bacterium. RNAcentral's name for it is "bacterial SSU rRNA". It matches the Rfam family "Bacterial small subunit ribosomal RNA", at positions 28 to 404 of the family's 1533-position model. The record is from RNAcentral.